GUAGGGAAUAUUGCGCAAUGGACGAAAGUCUGACGCAGCGACGCCGCGUGAGUGAUGAAGGCCUUAGGGUCGUAAAGCUCUGUUGAAUGGGAAGAAAAAAAUGACGGUACCAUUCGAGGAAGGACCGGCUAACUUCGUGCCAGCAGCCGCGGUAAUACGAGGGGUCCUAGCGUUGUUCGGGAUCAUUGGGCGUAAAGGGUGUGUAGGUGGCCAUGUAAGUCAGGUGUGAAAGCCCCGGGCUCAACCCGGGAAGUGCACUUGAUACUGCGUGGCUUGAGUACCGAAGAGGGUAGUGGAAUUCCAGGUGUAGUGGUGAAAUACGUAGAUAUCUGGAGGAACACCGGUGGCGAAGGCGGCUACCUGGUCGAGUACUGACACUGAGACACGAAAGCAUGGGGAUCAAACAGGAUUAGAAACCCGUGUAGUCC
RNAcentral lists this ribosomal RNA (428 nucleotides) under uncultured bacterium. Its description in RNAcentral is "partial 16S ribosomal RNA". It matches the Rfam family "Bacterial small subunit ribosomal RNA", at positions 354 to 796 of the family's 1533-position model. The record is from RNAcentral.